CGGAGAGCCUCUGCUGCCGAGCAUGCUCUGGCCAUGGAGAAGAAUGAGGCAGCGCUACUCCGCCAGAGGAUUUUUCAACUAACCUCUAAGAAGCUGAAAAUAGGAAAACCUGGGUUCCUGAUCAAGACCAUCCCCAAGCCCCCGAAAACAACCAAGACCAACAAACCCUUCUUGAAAACCUGCAAAGUUCUGAAAGCUUUCAAAGCACUAAUGAAGAUAUGAAGGCAAUGCAUACAAUUGUACAUUUGGUGCAAUUAUUCUCAGGACACGGGGUGAAGCAGAGUACAAUAAAUAAAUCCAGAUGCCUUAUUCCAUCAAACAACUGCAAGAAGUCUUCUUUAAAAUCAACCAAGCUAAAUUGGACACGUGUUUUAUGUCAUUUAUAUGGUAGGUCUCAUUAGAUAUCAUCCAACUCUUUAAAAAUGCCUUUGUAUGCAGAUUUCUGCUCUGUUUCCAUUAGGUAAGAUACAACUCCAUGGGGCUUACCUGCCAAGACCUCCAUGGAAGCCACAUAUCCCAUCAAUUACCAAAGCCAAAUGUUUCUCUUCUCUCUAGAAGAGGAAUGGUUUGGAGCAACCCAUCCUGGAGUGGGAUGGGAGCUCACUCUCCCUGCUGCCCUGGUUGUUUUUGGUGUGAUAUUACUAUGGAGGACCGUCCUUGUGAUCAAAAGCAGGAUACGUCUAUUGACUGAGACACAGCUAAACGUGAAACUCGCCCAGCUAUCGAAAAACAAAUGUGACAUAAUGAUUCAAUUGUCUGAAAUGGAGAUACUGUUGAAGGACUAUGACGCACCAGUGAAAAGGUUGCGGGCAUGCCUGCAGUCCUCUCAAGAGGAUAGUCAGGAGCUGGAGGAUAUGAAGAAACAAUGGGACAUCAGAGCUGGAGAAAUGGAGGCAUUUCAUCUCCAGCUCCAGGAGCGUGUUGAACGCAUACAGAAACUGAAAGCUGUUUGGGGACCGAUGGAACCACUUAAAGAGCAUCACGGUGGGGAUGCCAGGAUCCCUAGUGCCACCAACACCCAAUCUACC
This is a long non-coding RNA of Oncorhynchus tshawytscha (Chinook salmon), 1028 nucleotides long. Lineage: Eukaryota; Metazoa; Chordata; Actinopteri; Salmoniformes; Salmonidae. The record is from Ensembl.